CGGGUAUAGUUAGUGGCGGACGGGUGAGUAACACGUGAGCAACCUACCUUCGAGAGGGAAUAACGGCUGGAAACGGUCGCUAAUACCGCAUAACAUACUGGGGGGACAUCCCUUUGGUAUCAAAGAUUUUAUCGCUCGGAGAUGGGCUCGCGUCCGAUUAGGUAGUUGGUGAGGUAACGGCUCACCAAGCCGACGAUCGGUAGCCGGACUGAGAGGUCGAACGGCCACAUUGGGACUGAGACACGGCCCAGACUCCUACGGAAGGCAGCAG
This 271-nucleotide ribosomal RNA is filed under the name uncultured bacterium. Its description in RNAcentral is "partial 16S ribosomal RNA". It matches the Rfam family "Bacterial small subunit ribosomal RNA", at positions 83 to 354 of the family's 1533-position model. The record is from RNAcentral.